AGAGUUUGAUCAUGGCUCAGAAUCAACGCUGGCGGCGUGCCUAACACAUGCAAGUCGAACGCGAAAACCCCGCAAGGGGUUAGUAGAGUGGCGAACGGGUGAGUAACACGUGGGUGACCUACCUUCGAAUGGGGGAUAACGUCCCGAAAGGGACGCUAAUACCGCAUAACAUCCUGCUUUUGAACAGGUGGAGAUCAAAGCCGGGGAUCGCAAGACCUGGCGUUUGAAGAGGGGCCCGCGUCUGAUUAGCUAGUUGGUGAGGUAACGGCUCACCAAGGCGACGAUCAGUAUCCGGCCUGAGAGGGCGGACGGACACACUGGGACUGAGACACGGCCCAGACUCCUACGGGAGGCAGCAGUGGGGAAUUGUUCGCAAUGGGCGCAAGCCUGACGACGCAACGCCGCGUGGAGGAUGAAGGUCUUCGGAUUGUAAACUCCUGUUGCCCGGGACGAAAAGCUUCGAUCUAACACGUCGAGGUCUGACGGUACCGGGUGAGGAAGCCCCGGCUAACUCUGUGCCAGCCGCCGCGGUAAUAC
Molecule: ribosomal RNA, 537 nt
Filed under: uncultured bacterium
Lineage: Bacteria
Description: bacterial SSU rRNA
Rfam family: Bacterial small subunit ribosomal RNA
Source: RNAcentral